Long non-coding RNA from Bubalus bubalis (water buffalo), 1221 nucleotides. RefSeq lists it as uncharacterized. Lineage: Eukaryota; Metazoa; Chordata; Mammalia; Artiodactyla; Bovidae. The transcript is spliced from 2 exons. The record is from RefSeq and is a predicted model, not a curated record.
AUGAGGCAGCCAAAGUAUUGGAGUUUCAGCUUCGGCAUCAGUCCUUCCAAUGAAUAUUCAGGACUGAUUUCCUUUAGGAUGGACUGGUUGGAUUUCCUUGGGGAAGAACUGCGCCUUGAAAACACAAUUCCUGUCACCUGGGUCCCCAGGCUGCCCCGCUCCUGCCCUUUCCAAGGCUGGGAAAGGCCAUCAGGCUUUUCUCUUCAUCUGUGAACUGCCUGCAUCCUUCUGAUAAACUACCUUCUUUGGCCCAAGUAAGCCAAGCGUUUUUCCUUAGCUUGCCAUGACUUACCAGGUGGAUAUGAGGCCUGUGCCUGCCUUACCUGGCCCUGGGCAUGCAGCCCCACCCCUCUCCUGGAGGAGCUCCUUGUCAGGAGGGGAGCCUCAGCUGAGCCCCUCAAUGACCAUCAUCCUCACAAGCUGGGAUGGGAGCAGUGGAGGCUGAGGGAGAAUGAAAAGGUCCUUCAUUUGCAGUGAUGGGACUCAGAUCUAUAAAUAGUCAUCAGAAAUAAAGCAGAGAAAGAGAGAAGUCAUUUGUGGGCUCGCAUUUAAUUCAAAGGUGUUCUUUUUCUUCCUCUGAAAUAAGCUAUGUGAUUCUUUUCAAACGGAAGAAACCGAAAACCAUCUUGAAUUACCAAAGAAGCUCUUCAGCCCCCUCGAGGCCUCUCGGGCUGGAAGUAAGGCAAGAGAGCAGUCCCCCUCUGGUGAUGGCUGGAGCUGUGGCAGCCUUGUAUUUCCUGAGGCUGGAGGUUGUUGGGCCUCCUCCUCACCCCAGAGGAGCAAUUGGAGAUUUGUUCCCUAUGGAUUAAUACUUCGAGAUGAGAAUAGCAGAAAAAUCGGGAGAGGAGUCUGGGCCCUGCUCUGAUAGAAGAUAAGAGACCACGUACUUCUCAUUCUCAAAGUCAGAAGACCUCCCUGACUACACAUGUGGAGAAAUGAAUGUUCCCUGAUGGUCAAAAGGCAAGUGAUGAUGACUACCCAUAGGCCUCUUCAGAAGAAUCCAUGUUGCCUAAGAGAUGCACGUACACACACGGGAAGAUCCUGAGAUAUUCCAAAUAUGGACUCUGAACCAGGCAAAUCAAAAUAAUUGGCCAAAGGAAACCCCAAAGAAAGUGAUUUAAACCUCCAUGAGGGCCCAGCUCUCUCUGAGUCUGCCUGUAUGUCUAUCCAGAGGUGCUGUACUCUUUUUUAUCCUAAUAAAUACUUUGUUUCACUCCUUUU